Non-coding RNA from Hydra vulgaris (swiftwater hydra), 4712 nucleotides. The record is from RefSeq and is a predicted model, not a curated record. NCBI's taxonomy places the organism in Eukaryota, Metazoa, Cnidaria, Hydrozoa, Anthoathecata, Hydridae.
AAACACUCUACGUCAAAUUCUAUUAUUUAGCUGUCAAUAAAUAUAAAAAAGUCUCAUAUAACAAAACUAUUAAAAUUAUGUCGAAUUUGUGAAGUAAAGCUUGGAAAUCAAAGUCUUUUAACAAACCAUGUAUUUAGAAUAGAAUUGCAUUUUUUUAUACAAAUCGACAAGGACGACCCAGAGAUGCACCCACAGAAAAUGUGCUACAGAUGCUAUUUAACAAUGAGAAACAUUGAAAAAAGGUUCAAACACUAAUCUUAAAUUAAAAACCUGGAUUAGCAAUUGCAAGGAAUGUGAAUGUGUUUGCUUCAAAUUAAAUACAGGAAGGAAACCAAAAAAAUCUGUAAAGGGAAGGCUCUUAAGUAUAGCCAAUGAUGAAAUUUGGACUCGACAAGAAAUAAAUAACAUACAAGCUAAAUUUCCACUUCUGCUAACUUUGAAUCUAAAAUUACAAGACAUUAAUCAAAAUCUUAACCCACUUUUACAUCUUUGUGUCUGUUAUAUUUGCAAUGAUAUUAUGUAUAAACCUAUUAUUUUAAAAAAUUGUCUGCAUUUGUUUUGUGCACCAUGUAUAUUGCCACUUAUUAAUAAUAAACUAUUAUCUGAAACAAAAUGCCCUAAAUGCUUAUUAUCAAUUUCAAUUGAUGGAUUACCUUCUUCUAGCAGUGUAAUUGAAAUGAUAAAUAAUUUUCAAGAAGAAUGUAAGCAAAGGUGUGGUAGAUUAUUUAAAGUGUCACAACUGUCAGAACGCAUGAAUCAUCAAAAUAUUUGUAAGAUUCUAAUACCAAUUUCUUCAACCUUGACAACAUCAUCAUCACAUAUAAGUCUAUCAGAUAUUCAUUAAAUUCAACAAGUGUUAUCACAAGGGAUAUUGAUGAUGUUGCACUUCAUAUUAUUAAACAAAAAAUGUUGCAAACAACGUCUAAUGUAAUAGAAUUUCAGACUGAUGGACCAAGGCCUUUGUGCUUCAUAUCAACACCAAAAGCAUAUAAAGAAAGUAAAGAUUCAACUUUACAGACAGUUCGUAAACGACAAUCACAGUUAAACAAUUACAUAAACACAACGUGUGAUGAAAGCACGAGGUCUAAAAUCAAGCAAACCUCUACUCUUUUAAAAUCAUUUAAUGAAAAUGAACAAGAAAUUAUUUUAAGUAAUUCAAAUAUUUCAAAAACCAAAAUAUCUGCUGAAGAAAUUAUAAAUUUAAAAGCUAACAUGAGCAAUACUAAUGCCAACAUGAAAAUACUACCCAGGUGGUUGAAAACCAAGAACGUCAUUUGUGCUUCAAACGCACAACAAAGAUGUGUGGCUAAAAAGUGGUCAUGCGAUGAUCUUAUUAUUGAAAAAGCUCAAUUUAUGGUUGAAAAAAAGGAGUCCAAAGGUUCUUUUGAAAUAAAAGAAUUACCAUGCGCUUAUAUCAACAAUCUGCAAGGACAUAUAACAAAUGUGCUAGAUAGUUUAGACAGAAACAACUUACUAUGAACAAUAAGAUUAAAGGCAAUGAAAUACAUAUAAAAAUAGGAGGUGAUCAUGGAGGUGGCUCAUUCAAAAUGUGUUAUCAAGUAGUGAACGUAGACAAGCCAUAUUCAAAAACAAACACAACUGUCUUUAAUAUAUUUGAAGCAAGCGAUUGUAGAACAAAUCUGAAGUUUUCACUGUCAAGAUUUAAAUCAGAAAUUGAUUUGUUGCAAAACACCAUUUCGAGAGAAAAACAGAUUAGUGUAUAUUUAUUCGGUGAUUACAAGUUCUUGUGUGCAAUCUGUAGAAUAACUGGUGCAACUGGUAGACAUGUAUGCCUGUUAUGCAACGUCACAAGACAAGGAAUGUCAACUCAUAUUAAGAACAACAUUGAAAUGCAAUCACUUGAGACACUAGAUUCACGAUUAGAAAAAUUUAAAAAUCAUGGUUCAGAACCCAAGUUUGCCAAGUUAUGUGAUAAUGUUAUUGAUCAAAAGUUAUUUAAUGUGCCACUUGGUCAGAUUGGAAUUCCAGCAUUACAUAUCUCACUUGGGACGUACUUAAAAUUUUUCAACAUGUUAGAGGAGUCUUGUCAUACAAUUGACGUCAAAAGUGCAGGUCAAAUGGCAGUAAACAACCAAACACUUGACUGUGAAGAGUUUAACAAGUAUAUUGAGAAGCAACAACAGAUAAAACAACUUCAGAUAAGUAUUCAGGAUCUUAAAGAUAAAGCACGAAUCAUAACAGAAGCACUUGAAACUCACAAUUAUCUAACCCUGAAAAUGAAGAAUAUAUGAAUCUAAUAUUUGAACCACGCAUAAUUCACUUUGAAGAGAAAAAAAAAAAAAAAAGGUUAAGAUUUUCAAUUUUAUUGUUCCCUAAAAAUAUAAAUCAUAAAUAAUAAAUUUUGCUAUGAGAAUCAAUCACCAAAUUUAUAUUCAUAGAUCUCAGUAUUGAAAAUACUGAAAGACACCGACCAUGUAAAGGUGUCAUUUGGUCCACUAGUAAAUAAACUCGACGAGGUACUUAAUUUGUUCGGAGUGCAAAGACAAGCAUACCAUGGCAAAAGUUUUGUUGAUAAUCAUGUUAACAAGAUGUUAAAGAUGAAAAGUAUUCUCGAACUAUGCAACUCAAUACCAAUGCUCGUAGUCGAACUUGGGUUCACUGAAACGGACAUACACAAAGAAACUAUUGAACUUUGUCAGAACUUUAAAGUCCUAUUUGAAAAAAUUGGAGUUUGCCACAUGCUCAUUAACUCCUGCAUGCAGUUCAACAAAGAAAACAUUCAAAGUCUUGGCAUGAGAUAAAAUCAAAUUGAAGAUUUUAUGAAGUACUUCCGUGACAAUUGGCCAAAUGAUUCAAUUACACCUAAGCUUCCUAUGUUUGAAUAUCAUGCAUCGUCUUUCAUUAGGAAAUGGGGAGUUGGACUUGGCACUUAUGGAGAACAGGGUGCAGAGAGUAUUCAUGCUGAAUUUAACAGCAUGAAAAGUACCUACUGGCACAUGAAAGGAACACGUAAACUUAAAAGUAUAAUGGAUGAGCACUUUUUAAAAAACCACCUAACUGUAAAAAAAUAUCAACAAAAAGCUCUGCCUAACACGCUCGUUUAAACUCACCACAAAAGCGACAAGUUAUUGUACGUAAGCGCAGUUAGGUUAUAAUAAAUUUUAGAGUUUUAAAAUGGCUACGGACCUUCGCUACAAACUAGUUUUUAGAUGAAUACUAAUUUUUCUUAACACGCGGCGUUUUUUAGAAUUGUCUACAAAGACAACCAGUUAAUCGAAUUCUUAAUAGUAUUUCGGUAACUUAGUUUUUAUUAGAAAGGUUUGUGGUUAUUUAGUUGGGAAAAAAAAGUACUCUAUUAGAACAAACCAGAGAAAUAAAGUUGAAAAGGUGUUUUUAUGUCUUGCUAUCAGAUGAGAUAGAGAAUGUUCAUCCAUCUAACAUUUGUCACAAAUGUUAUGAUACAAUAAACAAUGUCAUCAAAAGAAUGGCAUCGACAACACUUCUUUCAAAUACGAACUUGAAACCUCAACAGGCAGAAAAACUCAGUAAAGGUGUAAAUUUUACUAAAUCAAAAAAAAAAUGAAUAAAAGACUUAUUGGUCGCCCUGUUCACCAGCCUGGUGUUUGUGAAAAAGUUUGGUUGUUUUCAAUGAUUGCUGACGUUAAAAAAAGCAUUGUUGUAGUACACGACUCAGAAAUAAAUGUUGAAGAGCUAAAAAAUGAGUUUAAUCCACAUUUACAGCUUUGUCAGUGUACUGUGGUAAAAUACCAAAACAGCCAGUAACUUUAAUAAAAUGCGAACACUUAUUUUGUUUUUUUUGUUUAGUAGAAGAUAUAAAGGUAAACCUUCUGAAGGAAACAAUAUGUCCAAAAUGUAAACUGUUUAUUUUACCUGAAGAUUUAGUGACGAAGCAUCAAAAACAACUAUAUGAGUCAGAAAUUCUUCAAUUAAAAAACACAUAGAGGUUAUGUCUGGUAUAUCAAAUGAUGCAAAAUGCUGCCAAUCAUCAAAGCUGCUAAAAUCAUUUCAAACAGAGACAAAGGGUUUGAUAUUGGAUAAUUUAUAUACUGAGGCAGUAAUAAUUACUGCAAAUAACAUGGUAGCAAUGAAAGCAGAUUUGUGCAUACCUUGGUAAAAGCUUAAAACAAUAUUAAAGUGGCUGAAGAACUUUAAUAUAAAUACAGCAUCAUAUUCUUCACAAAGAUUAGUUGCUUAAAAAUUAUCUGGUGAUGACCUAAUUGUAGAAAAUCCACUAAUUAUUUUUGAAAAAGUAGAGAAAGCAACAUUUGAAAUAAAAUACGUAUCUAGGGGCUAUAUUGAAAAUUUACCAAUGCAUAUAUUAAGACAUCUUGAUCAAUUAGAAAGGGAUAACAGUAGUAAAGUAUUUGUUUUUGGAGACUAUGGGUUUUUAUGUGCACUCUACGGGAUUUUAGGAGCUACAGGGAGACAUCGUUGUCUUUUCGUUUAUGCGACAGCAUGUGAAAUAAAAUGUGGUAAACAUGAAAAUCCUGAAAUAAAAGAUCGUACCUUGGAAGAUCUAUUUUCUGAUCAUAAAAAAUUUAUAGAAAGUGGAAAAAUGUUAAGAAUUUUAAUAAUGUCAUUGAAGAACCAAUUUUGAAAAUAACCUUGAUCAAAUUAACAGAAUCCCUUUUGGUGGUGAGACUAAACAAGCUCUUAUUGAUUUUUUUCCACCUCACAUUAAACUAUUUCUGAGCAACAAGUCUUCAGUUGAAGAUAAAGUGAUAUCUAAA